AGAAAUAGCUUGGUUUGACUUAAGUACACAAAUGAUUGAGGAGCUUGGUGUUAAAGCCGAAAGUGGUAUUAAUUGCCAGAUAGUAAUUUACUGGAAAAACUUUCUUCCCAUUGAUGGAAUAAAUAAAUAAUUGUUUUUCUAGUUUUCACCUAGAGGUGUAUGAUUAAGGUUUAUUGGAAUAUGACAUUGCAUGUAUACAAACUGAUGUGGUUUGAAUGUCAAUUAGAAUAAUCUUUUGUCUUUUACUAAAUCACCUAUAGAUUUAUGUAAAAAUAUCUAUGCUUUUGUGUUUAAUUUUGUGCUUUAUUUUUUCUUUUGCAUUUCAAAUCCAUAAACUCAAUGUGUUCAAGCUUUAUGGCACGGUUCAAACCAGUUAAUCUUCGUUACUGUGGUUUCACAAAUGAGAAGGCAAAGGUACGGAGCCAAUUACAUAUACUACUGAUAUUUUCUUCUAUAAUAUUCAAUCAAAAUUUUAUAUUAAAUCUUUGAAACGGUUUGAAUGUGUAUUAAAAAUUAUGAUCCCUUUUAUUUGAUAACUCUUAUUUCACGAGCACCUACUGCAAAAGCUUCUGAUGAUGGUGAUUAUGAGAAACAAACAUUUUUUAGUUGCAUUCUCUUUCUGGUGACAUGUUUGAGAAUAAGGUCAAUUUAAUUUGGUCAAGAGUAAAGUUAGAUCAAUCAUGUUCGCCGCUUCUAGUGUAUGAUUCUGGUUUUUCUUUUCAGUGUUUUUGGCUGUUUUGGUUUCAUUUUUGCAGGGUUUCCUUAUUAUCUUGUAAACCAACAAUGACUGCGACGAUGUCAACAACAAUAUAUAGUAAUAACUAAGAAUCAAAAUAUUACAACAUGCAUAUAGUAUUCCUAAUUA
RNAcentral lists this long non-coding RNA (865 nucleotides) under Trifolium pratense (red clover). RNAcentral describes it as "long non-coding RNA (TPRA_LNC013144)". The record is from RNAcentral. Lineage: Eukaryota; Viridiplantae; Streptophyta; Magnoliopsida; Fabales; Fabaceae.